GUUGCAUGUGUAUAUAUGUGGUGUGUGUGUGGUGUUUGUGUGGUAUGUGUAGGAUAUUUGUGCAUUGUGUGUGUGGUGUAUGGUAAGUGUGGUGUUUGCGUGGCAUGUGUAUGUGUUGUGUGUGGUGCGUAUAUGUGUGUUGAGUGUGUGUGUAUGUGUUGUUUGUGUGGAGAGUGUGUUGCCUGUGUUGUAUGUGUGUAUACAUGGUAUAUGUGUGGUGUUUGUGUGGUACGUAUAGGGUGUUUGUGUGUGCAUUGUGUAGUGUGCAUGGUGUGUGUGCAGUGUGUGUGGCAUGUGUAUGUAUGUUGUGUGUCUUGAGGGUGUGUAUGUGUGUGUGUGGAGAGUGUGUUGUGUGUGUGGUGUGUGUUGAGUGUGUGUCUAUGUGUGUAGACACAAGCCGGACUUUCUGCCCUAGCCCAUUCACGUGCUGGAAGGAGUUUCAGGAGAAGGAGGUUUACACAAGGCGUGGAGAAGCAGAGGGACCUUGCUCCUUGAAUCGCUCGGUUGUAUCGCCAGAGAUGAGUUUGUUGUUCUUGGGUCUUUCGCUGCUUUCUCUUCUCUCAAUGAUAUGUGAAAAUAACCCAUAAAAAUACAGAGGUAAGUUCAUGUAUUAAUUCCUUUUUUUUUUUUUUUUUUUUUUUGGUCUUUUUGCUAUUUAUUGGGCUGCUCCCGCGGCAUAUGGAGGUUCCUAGGCUAGGGGUCUAAUCAGAGCUGUAGCUGCCGGCCUACGCCAGAGCCACAGCAACGCUGGAUCCAAGCCGCGCCUGCAAACUACACCACAGCUCAUGGCAACGCUGGAUCGUUAACCCACUGAGCAAGGGCAGGGACCGAACCCGCAACCUCAUGGUUCCUAGUCGGAUUCGUUAACCACUGUGCCAUGAUGGGAACUCCUAAUUCCUAACUCUUAGCGCAAAUUUCCAGGGCACACAUCUUCUGAAACAAUCAUCAAGAGAAAAAAAUAGGUUACUGAAGUUAAUUUCAAAUUUUCAGUAAAGUACAUGUGAUUCCUUUGAUCAUGUAUUGAGGAAAUCCAAAUUCGUUAUUCUAGUUCCCUCUAAGGGUGGUGACCGAGUGACAAUUGACAGCAGAAAUCCUUUGAAGAGGAAAAAGCAGUAUCAGUUUAGUCCUCAAAACAUAAGGCUUUGUGGGGAGUUCCUGUCGUGGCUCAGUGGUUAACGAAUCUAACUAGGAACCAUGAGGUUGCGGGUUUGAUCCCUGGCCUUGCACAAUAGGUUGAGGAUCCGGCGUUGCCGUGACCUGUGGUGUAGGUUGCAGACGCGACUCGGAUCCCAUGUUGCUGUGGCUGUGGCGUAGGCCAGCAGCUACAGAUCCGAUUAGACCCCUAGCUUGGGAAUCUCCUUAUGCCAUGGGUACAGCCCUAAAAAGACAAAUGGAC
RNAcentral lists this long non-coding RNA (1396 nucleotides) under Sus scrofa (pig). Its description in RNAcentral is "lncRNA (ENSSSCG00055001233.1)". Lineage: Eukaryota; Metazoa; Chordata; Mammalia; Artiodactyla; Suidae. The record is from RNAcentral.